This 498-nucleotide ribosomal RNA is filed under the name uncultured bacterium. Its description in RNAcentral is "partial 16S ribosomal RNA". It matches the Rfam family "Bacterial small subunit ribosomal RNA", at positions 28 to 523 of the family's 1533-position model. The record is from RNAcentral.
GAUGAACGCUAGCGGCAGGCCUAAUACAUGCAAGUCGGACGGGAUUGAGGAGCUUGCUUCUCAUGAGAGUGGCGCACGGGUGCGUAACACGUAUGUAACCUACCUUAGUCAGGGGGAUAGCCUCUCGAAAGAGAGAUUAACACCGCAUAACAUUACGUUGUGGCAUCACAGUUUAUUCAAAUAUUUAUAGGACUAAGAAUGGCAUGCGGAACAUUAGCUAGUUGGUAAGGUAAAGGCUUACCAAGGCAACGAUGUUUAGGGGAUCUGAGAGGAUGACCCCCCACACUGGUACUGAGACACGGACCAGACUCCUACGGGAGGCAGCAGUAAGGAAUAUUGGUCAAUGGACGCAAGUCUGAACCAGCCAUGCCGCGUGCAGGAAGACGGCCCUACGGGUUGUAAACUGCUUUUGUACCGGAAUAAACCUUUUCACGUGUGAGAAGCUGAAUGUACGGUAAGAAUAAGGAUCGGCUAACUCCGUGCCAGCCGCCGCCGUAA